GAGGAGAAUGUACUAAUGGAGAAUGUAGGAUCAAACACAUUUGUGUCUCAAGCUUCUGUUUUGUCUUCUUCUUUUCAAUGUAUAUAGAUGUGCUUUUUAUUUGUCGUCAGUGUUAUGUGUGAAAACAAAUUCAAGUUUUAACGGAUUGUACUCCAUAGGCUACAAAUGUCCUACCGUUUUGCACCGACAUGGAUAAUGAAGACGACUCAAUCAUCGUAGUUAAAUUCAUAUCAAAUUUGAUGUUCGAAAAGGAGGAACGGCAGAACAAGAUGUAGAAAUUUUAAUUAGUUAAGGAAUCACAGUGAUCUCAAACAAAUGAAUUAAAUGAGGUUUAACAUCCUACAUGAUCUGAAACAAUGUAUUAAUAAUGAUUACUCAACGUGAUCUUAAACAAUGUAUUAAUAAUGAUGAAUCAACGUGAUCUCAAACAAUGUAUUAAUAAUGAUGAAUCACGGUGAUCUUAAAGUAGCUAAGUCUCUAAAUCAAUAUCAUCAAAAAUCUUCCACAUUGAAAACACGAAUUAUUUGUCAGUUCAAAUCAACAUUGGUCUUGUGAUCUUCCAGGGAAAAGAUGGGCUUCUGUUAUCCAAUAUUCAAGACAAAAUAAACGUUUUACCAUUGGUACACGAAUCGUGUACCAUAAUGCGUUUCAUAGCCUUUUGGAACAAGGGACUCAAAGAACGCGGCUAGACAUAUUCCACAAGUCAUGUCAAAUGGUGACGCUAUAUUCUUAUCUGGAGAGCAUGUACAAUAAAUAUCAUCGGUGUAGACUGGAAUAACCAGACGCUAAAUACUGCUAUUGAUUGAGACUUCUGGCGUAUUUCGCAGAACAUAACUGAUUAGAAAUUACAGUAAAAACAGAAACGGUUGAAUGUAAAUCAGUUUAUAUACAUUCACAUUACAUUAUUAUAUGCUUUGUGACCCAUUUGUGUCAAUUUGUAGGUCCCAAAUAUUAGCGAUUUAGCUCCUUUAAACAAUGUAUUAAUAAUGAUUAAUCAACGUGAUCUUAAACAAUGUAUUAAUAAUGAUUAAUCAACGUGAUCUCAAACAAUGUAUUAAUAAUGAUGCUUCUGUUAAAAAGGUUUGUCGGAAAACAUAACUUCGAACCCCAAUUAAUCAACUUUGCUGUUUUCAUAUGAUCUGGUACGCUGGCACAAAAACACACAGCCAGUAUUUAUUCAAUGUUGCAUUAUUAUUAGGUGUUCGAAUAGAUAUUCCUGAUAAAUUAUCAUCAGACCCAACGUAUUUAGAGCGGUAAUGACAUUGGUAAAAGGACUUCAACUAAGCAUUUACACACGGAUCACUGAAUCUCAUAUGGUUAUACAGAAUUACAAAGAGUCGAACAACACCCUACCAGUCUCAGGGUAACUUUCAUGCAGAACUUUUAAGUAAAACAUAACAGAACACCCACCGUGUCCUAUCCUUGGAUAUCAAACUACGAUGGCCAGAACAUCCUUUAGUGAUUAAAUGUGCAUACUAUACAUCGAAUAGGUUUACGCCUAUUUUUCUUAUGUUUGAACGAAUCCGAUUUUGUUUUGUCAUGAUCAGAUUCGUGGAUUUUAUAUCACCAGAAACGUCUCCAGUAUUCUUACUCAAAGACGUGGGAAGUGAUCAGCAGAACACCGAUAUGAGCAGAGAUGGGGAUAAUCAGUAGAACACCGACAUGAGCAGGAUGGGAAAGUUCACGAUGCAAUAUAUACAUUUGGAUCCAGGCUAACUGGUAUUACUGUAAGGCAAAAGAUGUAUAAGCUGUUAACUCGUGUAUAUAUAUAUAAUAAUAACCAGUCAGUUAUCGAUAACCCAAGCGAAUUACAUGGUGUGUGAUAUGUAUAGUAAUUGCCCUAUUUGUCGCCUCGAUCACAAAGCGGUGGCAUUAAUAACCUUCCAUACAAAAUGGAAGACCGGAAAGCACAAACUACUAUUUCUAGUUUUGGUUUAUAGUUAGUCCCACACUAUUACCACCGUGUUGGAUAAAUGUUCAAAUGCCACAAGUACCAUGUAACUUACAAUUGAAAUCAAAAGAUCAAUACGAUAUAGAGAAACUAGCACACGCAGGUUGAUACCAUAUAAACAACCUUGGUUAUUAAACGGUUGCACUGGGGUAAAUCACUUAAAGCCGAAUGCUCUUAUUCCUAUUAAGUCUUUCAUUUCAAAAACAGGCCACCCUCAUCCGCAGGUAAAAUAUCAAAAUGGCGAGAAUGCCAAGCGAUCACUACAAGAAAAUUCAGAAAAAUUUGGGAUUUAUAUAUGAAAAUAUUAUAAAUAUCGAUGGUGUCAUAGAUUAUCUGUUCGAGAAAGAUGUUCUUUCUGAUGACCAACAGGGCCAAAUAGAGUCCAUACCAAAGGGCCGGAAAAGAGUAAAGGCAUUACUUGAUAUCGUGAUGACUGAGUGUGGUGAUUGUUAUUAUCUCUUUCUGGAAGCUCUUAAAACGAAGAACUUGAGGCAGAUUGCUGAUCGGAUAGACAGAGAUCCGGAUAACGAACCACCACCCGUUAGAAUGGAACCACCCGUAACAAGAUCACAAUCUAAAGUUAAAGUGGAAGGGGACCAAAUGAUUCCUGGACAUUUACAAAUAUGGACAAGACACCAAGAGGUUUUGGUGAAGAAAUUUAAAGGCGACAUAGAAGACUUGAUGCGGAAGUUGUUUUCGAAGAACAUAAUCAAUAUGGAUGAUAAGGAAAAGGUUCGAAGGGAAGUGCGAGAGAACUAUACAGAAGGUGGCGCAACUAAACUUUGGGAAAUUUUAAGCGAACGUGGUGAAAUGGUUCUACCCAGAAUAAUAGAAGCUCUGAAGACUAACUACGGCAGAGUCGCCGCAAUGCUAGAACACCAACUGGCGAAUUUGGAAGAAAGACGUUAUUCAGUCCCAAUUCAAGAAACAGGAAGCUGAAGUGGACGUCCUUAUGCAGUAUCAUUAUAUUACUUAAAGAUACAUUAUGUAAGAUUUAGAUAAAGACCUGGUCGUGCUUGCUAUUAUAGUUUAAAAACAUGAUAAUGUAUUGAAAAUUUCAUUCUAAUGACUUAAUUCUGAACCAAGUUAUCACAGUUUGUAGUUUCGACAGGAUGUGGGUAUUGGUUGUUUAUUAUCGUAACCAGCGUGACGUCUCCAUGUUUAAAUUAUAUCAUUAAAUGGCAGAACCGUUGUAAUCUAGUUAAACUCUGGAGUAUCUGAUGGCAUUGAGAGUUGAUUACGGUUUUGUUAUGUAUAUAAAUGUCUAAUUAAAAAACAUUAUGGGAGAUUCGCAAACGAGUUAGCAGUUCUUACUAUAAUAGUUGCAUUUCUAGAUAAUGUAAAGGCAAUGUGCUGAAAAUUUCAUUCAAAUUGAUCCACUAUGAAGCGAGAACUAAGCGUUUGAAAUUUCCGCCUAGACUCUGUCAUCAUUACUAAAGUCAGUACGAUAAACAGCAUAGUCGCGAUUAUCCACUUAAUCGUUAAAUCGUGAAGGACAGUUAUGCAGUAAAUCGGCUCAUAAUACACUUAAGAUCGCAGAAUAGCGAUGCCAGUUAGAGUUGAUUAUUGUCUGGAUAGGUUAAUUAAUGUCUAAUUAAUAAUUUAGAUAACAUUUCAGGCCUAAAGAAAGACCUGCAUCAGACAGAUUUAGCUCUUGCAUAAUGUAUGUUUAAUAAUUUAUAUAACAUUUAAGGCUAAAGAAAGACUUGCAAUUGGUAGAUUUAGCUCUUACAUAAUGUAUCGCUCUCGACCAUUAAAUCACACAUAUUUGUUCAUUAUUACUUCUAAAUUGAGUAAAGUAGGAUACCUCGAAUAAAACUUGAAACAUUGAGUACUAUAUGGGAACAUAACUCAGACUAACGAAUCAUAUUUUAAUUAAUGUCUCACCCUUGACCAUUGAACCAUACAGAUUAGUUCAUUAUUACCACGAUACUCGAUUGGACGUUAAACUCCAUUUCUCUCUCUCUCACCACGAUACUGAGUAAAAUCGGUUACCUCGAAUAAAGCUUGAAACUCAUAAAGGGAGGUAAACCGCUUUGAUUUAAUUUCAAAUAAAACGUUGAAGUGGGUUGAUUACAUUUGUUAAGUGGAUUAGAUAUAAUAAUAAUUUGGAGACUUUCUGAAUUUUCAUUAACUACAAAACAUGUUUUUUUGUUAUAUAGAUUAAAUAAUGUAUGUAGGCAUAACAUUAAAAGAACUAUCCUGACUGUUGGAAUGUUGAUAUAACGGUCUUUUUGGCAGAUUUAAUAAACAUCCAGUGAUCUAGAACCCAAUUAAACCUACUCUUAGUUUGCUCGUAGAUUUAAAUGUAGUCGUAUAUUAUAGUUACCGUGAUCCGCCCAUCUCUGUGGACGUUAUUGACUAUAUAUUAAUUUAUAAUUAAUUACCAACUAUUUCUCUACUAAUGUUUUGUAUAUAAAAUUUUUACCAGAUAAUUUAGGGAUUUUUUUUAGAUGUGGAACUUCGAUAAUAUUGGAGAACUAUGCCUGGACAAUUCUUAUUCCUAAAGGGAGGAGGGUAUUGUAUAUUAGGAAAGUGGCAUGGAUGUGCGUUAUAACCAAAAAAGUGGCAUGGAUGUGUGUUGUAACCAAGGAAGUGGCAUAAAUGGGCAUUAUAACCAAGGAAGUAGCAUGGAUGUACUCAACUUUGGAUCUAAAUUGCCAUUUUUUUACGUUUCGGUAUAACCAUAGAGAGACAUACCUAUGCUAAUUUUUUACCGGAUAUUUUAGUUUUUUUUUUUUAUGUGGAACUUUGAUAAUAUCGGAGAACUAUUAAUAGACAAUGCUUAUUCCUAAAGGGAGGAGGGUGUCAGCUGGAAAGUGCGUUAUGACCAAUAGUGGCAUGGAUGUGCAUUAUAACCAGAAAAGUGGCAUAGAUGUGCAUAAUAAUCAAGGACAUGGCAUAGAUGUUCUCAACUUUGGAUCGAAUUUGCAGUGUUUUAUGUUUCGGUAUAAACUUGAUGACUUCUGUAUAAAAAUUCUAUAAUGAUUUCUUAAGUCGAGUUCAUAUUAUUCACUGUAAUUUAUCGCCAGUAAACACAAUAUGACACGAUUCUAUUCUCCACUUUACAAUUAUCAUUAAUACUGUAGCAUAUAAUCAACAAAAUCAGCGGCAUCAGAGACAUAAAACAUUGAAAAACAUAACACAAUUUAUAUGGAAAAACAAUCACUGGUUUAUAUACAUAUAGCACGAGGUUUCGAUAAGUAUUCUCUCAUCGUUAUCAAGUACAAAUUCUCUUAUUCUUAUCAAGUACAGAGAAUACAUGUCGAAACGUUGUACUAUAUGCGUAUAAAAUGCCACUCAAGGGUUAUAUGACAUGAAACAUAUUUUGUAGUUACAUACUGUUCUGACAACUCCUUAAAUCCCCACCUUUGUGUAUUAUCAUAUGCGGAAUUACAUAUGUAACGUGUCCGUGUUGGGAAUAGCGUUGUUUAGUGAAUUAUGAGUGGGUGGGAUAGACAAUAUAACAAGUGAUCAAAUGAGUGACUGGGAAAGACAAUAUAACAAAGAGAUCAAAUGAGUGACUGGGAAAGACAAUAUAACAAAGAGAUCAAAUGAGUUGAGUGGGAUAGACAAUA
This is a long non-coding RNA of Patella vulgata (common limpet), 5529 nucleotides long. RefSeq lists it as uncharacterized. The transcript is spliced from 6 exons. The record is from RefSeq and is a predicted model, not a curated record. Lineage: Eukaryota; Metazoa; Mollusca; Gastropoda; Patellidae.